UUACGGCCAUAUCACGCUGAAGCACCGGUUCCCAUACGAUCACCGAAGUUAAGCAACGUCGAACCCGUUUUAACCGAGAUGGGUGACCGCUUGAGAAUACCAAGU
This is a non-coding RNA of Acanthosepion pharaonis, 105 nucleotides long. The record is from the annotation of a GenBank genome assembly. NCBI's taxonomy places the organism in Eukaryota, Metazoa, Mollusca, Cephalopoda, Sepiida, Sepiidae.